CCUGAGGCCAAUAACUAUAAGGACUUUAUAAUAAUCCAGAGUCAAACUCAAUUUCUCACCUGGCUGCUGCCUCCUGUGUUCCAUCAGCAAUCUGAAAUACUGAAGUCAAGAACAGCAAAUGGGCCUUGCAGCACCUGGGGUGCAACAAGCAGGGUGCUGGGGAGACUGCCUUUUACUGUGUUCCACUAGAGUAUACAGAAUGGAGGGUGGCAGUUCUAUGGGAUAGGAAAGCUUCUCAAUCCCUUUGAUCUGAGUGGAAAAACAAAAGAGCUGGCAGCAAUCUGGAGUGAGUUAAGGGCCAGGGGCUAAAGAGCAGGGUGGUUUCAUGAUUACAAGCUUCUUUUGUGGGUAGAAUGUUUGUAGCAAGUUUAUCUGCAAGACCCACAGGGACCUCAGCAAUGACACAUUGUGGGGUAGAUUGGGAAGCCAGAUUAUGUCAUCACAGAGCUGGAGCACUGCUCUAAGAACCAGCUGGGGCUCUGCAGGGGUGUGACAAGUGCUCUUUUGGAUGGAGGACUCAAAGAGACAACUGGCACAUUAAGCAGAUUCCAUCAUCAUUUUCCUGGCAGCACACCCACAAAGGACCAUGCUCAGCUGUCAUCUUCAAGUGUGGGAGUAGCUUCCUUCUAAGCCCUGGACUGGAAGCCACAAGAUCCAGAUGGGGACCCAGCCUCAGACAAGUGUCCAGUCGUGGAAACGAGUCAGAAACCAGGUCAGAUGGGCAGGGACAACAGGGCAGAGAAGGUUUCUGGAGGCUGAAAGUCUGAGAUCAAGGUGCCGGCAGUGUUGGCGUCUGGUGAGGGCUCUCUCCCUGGGCUGGGCCAACUUUUCACAGUGAGGAUGCUGAUGUGUUUGGCCUUGUCUCCUUCUCUUGGGGACCCAGGAUGGCUCUAGUCACAAAUCCAGAGGCCCAAAGGAUCCACAGCGAACACAGGCACUGCAGCUGACAGAAGAGCACGUGUCCUGGGCAAAGAUCCAAAAUCCCCCGAGCUCUGCAAAUUUGAACCUUGUAGGAAGGCAGCCUGGUAAGGCCUCAUCUUCUGACAUCUGGAUUUAAACAAAUUGUCCUGAUUUUUCAACAUUGGCAAUGAACCUUAAAACAUUUUAAAGCAAUGUGCAGGCUAAGCCCCAUAUUACCAGAGGCUGUCUUUGACUGGCUUGUGCUGGUGGCUGACACUCCAUGAGUACUUACCAUGCCAGGGAAAGGACCCGAAGGUCCUUUCUUUCUUCCUUUCUUUUUUUUUCUUUUGUAAUCAAUGGGUUUUAUUUUCCUAGAACUGAAAUCAUCUACAGUUCUCAGAGCUAAACUUCCAAAGCUACAGUCAGCAAUUUUUCAUCAGAGCCCAAGGAAGAGGGGUCAGGGUAAAAGAGACAAGAGGCUGAAGAGAGGCAUAGAGAGAUCAUUAGGAAGAGGGGGGGAGGGGGCACUUAUUUCCCUCUGUCCUCUCAGUAGAUUACAAAUCGGAUCUCGUGACAACACUGAGGGGACCAGGUCAAGGUAUGUGGAUGAGAAAUGACACUGGAAGGAACACCAAAGCUCCAGCUACAAAAAGAAAGUCAUCAAGCUCCAAAUAGAAGGGGAGCCUCCCAGUGCACCUCAGAAAUAGGGGCAAUGAUGUGGAAGGAUGGAGCUGGAAUCACAAGCAUGAGCCACCACACCUAGCCUGGUAUUUGCUUUUCUAAUCUCAUUUAAUUCAAAGAGAAAUUGCACAGCGCUCAGAUGUCUUUCUUAACAUUUUGGGCACUCACAUUUUUGUCCAAUAAAAUCUU
This is a non-coding RNA of Callithrix jacchus (white-tufted-ear marmoset), 1770 nucleotides long. The record is from RefSeq and is a predicted model, not a curated record. NCBI's taxonomy places the organism in Eukaryota, Metazoa, Chordata, Mammalia, Primates, Cebidae.